GCGGGUGUAGCUCAGUGGGAGAGCAUCUCCUUUUGUAAGGAGAAGGUUGGAGGUUCGAGUCCUCUCACCCGCU
Molecule: transfer RNA, 73 nt
Filed under: Candidatus Woesebacteria bacterium
Lineage: Bacteria; Candidatus Woeseibacteriota
Description: tRNA-Gln
Rfam family: tRNA
About the family: Transfer RNA (tRNA) molecules are approximately 80 nucleotides in length. Their secondary structure includes four short double-helical elements and three loops (D, anti-codon, and T loops).
Source: RNAcentral